This 267-nucleotide ribosomal RNA is filed under the name Palliolum tigerinum. RNAcentral describes it as "partial 28S ribosomal RNA". It matches the Rfam family "Eukaryotic large subunit ribosomal RNA", at positions 82 to 341 of the family's 3401-position model. Lineage: Eukaryota; Metazoa; Mollusca; Bivalvia; Pectinida; Pectinidae. The record is from RNAcentral.
AUUAACGGCGAGUGAAGUGGGAAUAGCCCAGCACCGAAUCCCUCAGCCUUGCGCUGCCGGGACCUGUGGUGUUUGGGACGACCGCUGUCGUGUUGUUCGGGUGCCCAAGUCCUCCCGAUCGGGGCCUCUCCCACAGUGGGUGUUAGGCCUUUACCGGCACUCGUCGACACGGCUAUGGUCGUCCUCGGAGUCGGGUUGUUUGGGAAUGCAGCCCAAAGCUGGUGGUAAACUCCAUCUAAGGCUAAAUACUGACACGAGUCCGAUAGC